Molecule: long non-coding RNA, 3134 nt
Organism: Strigops habroptila (Kakapo)
Lineage: Eukaryota; Metazoa; Chordata; Aves; Psittaciformes; Psittacidae
Source: Ensembl
CUGAUUUUACAUAAGUCUUUAUUCGUGUGCAUACAUUUUAGAAGGACUCGCAUUUUAGGAUUGUUCUCAGUUUUAUUUCUCAUAAUGGGUAUUGAAAGCUACAGAGCCUUAGAUAUUCUUACUUCAUUGUUUAGAACGGACUUAAAGAAAAACCCCGAAUAUUGAACAACAAAGGUCUCUGCCUUAACGUUAUGAUUUUGAGUCUCUGGGAGGACUCAUGAGGAUUGUUUGACUAUUUUGUAAAAAAUAGCUUAAUUGAUUAGAUAUAUUCCUCCUUUCCAAUUAAAAAUUACAAAAAAAAGGGUGUUUGUGACUCUGAGCCAAGUUCAUUGAUAUAUCGAGCAUAGCUAAUGUCAGUCAUUAUUAAGGUCCUGAUUGUGCUGUGUGUUUCCUCACAAAUACAAUUAUAGCAAGUCAAUUUGCAUUGGUAAAUGAAUGCUAAAAAUAUCUAAAUAUUUUUUCCUGCUGACCAGAGAGUAGUUGAUCCAGUCAUUAGGAUGCAGAUAAACAGAAGUUACUACUCUGAUAGAAGCUAAGGUGUUUAAGCACAAUGCGCAUAAGGAAUUAGUUAUUUGGCUACUGAUAUGCAACUACUAGUAUGCUCUCCAGAAGAAUUGAAAAGCUGUUCUAAAAUCACACCAAUCUAUCAUGGAGGUUUUUGCGUGGCAUUGGAAAGAUUUAUAAAAGCUUUACCAUUAUUCCUCAUUCAAAAUUUACUGCAGGGCCUGUUGGCAGCAUGUGCAAAGGGACUGAACUGCAACUGCUGUGUAGGAAAAAGUAAUUCCUGCUUUUCCAAGCACGGCUGAUGACUUUGGCUCCAGCAGCUGCUGUAAGUUGUUGUUCCUUUUCCUGCACCAGAAGGCAGAGUCCAUUCAGCACAGCACUGCAGGGAAGUGACUCUUGCAUUCACUCGCUUCUUGUUUCGAUCCUGCAUAGGUGAACACAGAUGAAAUCUGGGCCAUUAUAAAAAUAAGGAGGAUUAUUUGCAGAACAGUGGUUUGUUCCAGGUCUGAUCUUGAGGGAGGUGUUAGAGCAGUGGAAGGUCAAGAAGAUACCUGUUUUUUUUUAAUUAAAGGCACUUUGAAUAUCUCCUUGCUUUCCAGCUCCCACAAAAACUGUAAACGUACCUGUCCAAACCCUUUAAGCUGCUCCUAUGUUGGCAGGCACCUUUUUCACAGCAAAAGUAUUGGCAUAGCUACCCAACUGGAAAACAGAAAAAUGACGUGGAUUUUAUUCAGCCAACCACAGUUCCUCAGUACAUCCCAAUGCGCCAAUAUUUGUGUUUAGUUUAAACUGUCAGAAAUCACUUUGAAAUUGUGAUCACAGAUUUCUGUGAGCAGAAACUUCUAAAACAUCUGAAAGAAUGGAAUGUAAGGGUGGAUUGGUGCCUAGCACUUCCUCUAUUAUGUACUUUGAUGUCAUUUUGAAUAGUGUGUGAAGAUCUAUUACCAAUCCUCCCACCCAUCGACCCCCACCCCAAAUCUACAGGAAAAACCUCUGGAAAUAUUUCAUUAAUCAUUUUUGUCAAGACCACAGAUGAAAGGAGACAUUUGUAUUUUAUGACAGUUGGUAAUUAAACAUUUACAGUACAGUGCCAAUAUUUAAUACCAAUGUAGAAGGAGCAAACUGAACAGAAGGUAAAUCUGGCAGAGUUAAACAUAGAGUGAUGCAGUGGGAGUGUGCAUAUGUGAUCAGAACUGUAACACCGCAGAGCAAGUGGCAUUGCAAUAAAAUGUUGUAGCAGCAAACUGCUUUUCCAGCUGUGUUAGACUUCCUUCCCUCUUCCCUGGAACUGAAAUGAGAAAGAAUAUUUUACCCCUGAAAUGACUUGGAGAAACCAGAUGAGGCUUUGGGAGUUAAGACCACUGGCUGUUUGUGCAAGGCAAUAAGGCUGUAUAGGAUAAAUGAGUCCCAAGGAGUUUCUUUUGGUUUUAUGACUGCUCCGCUUUGUUUUCCCUCUCCAUCUCACUGAGUAUUUUGUAAAAACCUUCUACAUCUUAUUUAGGUUGCCUUCCCUCCUUUCACUUCUGCUAGAAAGCAAGGCAGUAUUCAUUGCAAGAGAAUAUUUUUGUGUGAUUUCUCAGUGCUCUAAUAUCGCUUUUGCACGUAAGGAUAAAAACUAUUUAAACUGCUCUCACUCAUAUUGAAGUGAUCGGAAAUGUUCGCAUUUUUUCAUAAUAAUUAGACUGGAUCUCCACAAAUUGUCUGUGCCAUCACAAACUAGUUUCAUCUGACUAAAUGUCACUGCACAAUGUACAUGUCCACAUCUGAGCUGUGUACACUGACAUACACUGCCUCCAUGGUGGCAGAGCUACACAGAGAGCCAUCUGCUAAAAGAGAUAAUCAAGACAGAGCAAGUGCACCACAUUCUCUUUGCCGCCUCUUUCCCCCUUGUUUUUGAACCCGGAUCUGACUAACAGCUGCAUAUGUGGACACUUAUGUCUAAAGCUAGAGGAGACAAGGCCCAGCCAAGCACUUCUCAAGCUUACUCUCAGGCUGUGUGGCUUUUCCCAUAUACUUGUGUCCUCACAAAGCACAUAGUAUACAAUAUGACCUCUCUUCUUCUUCUGCACCAUUAUGAGGGCCAGUUCCUUACAGCUAUGUUGGUCAAAAGAAAAGAUGAACUAAGAUUAUAGGUUGCCUGGAUAGGUUGUAGGUGACACAACCUGAACAUUCAAGGUCAGGUUGGAUGGGGCUCUGAGCAACUUGGUCAAGUUGAAGAUGCAGCCCAUAAAGCCAACCAUAUCGUGGACUGCAUCAAAAGGACCAUGGCCGGCAGGUCAAGUGAGGUGAUUCUCCUUUGCUCUUGUGAGACCCCACCUGCAGUACUGCAUUCAGUUCUGGGGCUCCCAACACAAGUAGGAUGUGGAUCUGUUGAAUCAAGUCCAGAGGGGGGCCAUGAAGAUGAUCAGAGGGUUGGAGCACCUCUCCUAUGGAGACAGACUGAGAGAGUUGGUCUUGUUCAGCCUGGAGAAGGCUCUGGGGAGACCUUAGAUCAGCUUCCUUUAGACCUGUAAAGAUGUCCUACAAGAAAGCUGCAGAGAGACUUUUUAUAAGAGCAAGUAGUGAUAGGACAAGGGGGAAUGGUUAAAAUGAAAGAGGGGAGACCUAGAUUAUAUAAAAGGAAGAAAUUC